This 250-nucleotide ribosomal RNA is filed under the name uncultured bacterium. RNAcentral describes it as "partial 16S ribosomal RNA". It matches the Rfam family "Bacterial small subunit ribosomal RNA", at positions 524 to 773 of the family's 1533-position model. The record is from RNAcentral.
UACAGAGGGUGCAAGCGUUGUUCGGAAUUAUUGGGCGUAAAGCGCGUGUAGGCGGCUUGGCAAGUCGGAUGUGAAAGCCCUCGGCUCAACCGAGGAAGUGCGUUCGGAACUGCUAAGCUUGAGUGUCAGAGGGGGUGGCGGAAUUCCCCAAGUAGAGGUGAAAUUCGUAGAUAUGGGGAGGAACACCAGUGGCGAAGGCGGCCACCUGGAUGAUAACUGACGCUGAGACGCGAAAGCGUGGGUAGCAAAC